RNAcentral lists this ribosomal RNA (254 nucleotides) under uncultured bacterium. Its description in RNAcentral is "partial 16S ribosomal RNA". It matches the Rfam family "Bacterial small subunit ribosomal RNA", at positions 524 to 776 of the family's 1533-position model. The record is from RNAcentral.
UACGUAGGGUGCGAGCGUUAAUCGGAAUUACUGGGCGUAAAGCGUGCGCAGGCGGUUCGUUGUGUCGGCGGUGAAAGCCCCGGGCUUAACCUGGGAAUGGCCGUCGAAACUGGCGAACUGGAGUGUGGCAGAGGGGGGUGGAAUUCCGCGUGUAGCAGUGAAAUGCGUAGAGAUGCGGAGGAACACCGAUGGCGAAGGCAGCCCCCUGGGCUGACACUGACGCCUCAGGCACGAAAGCGUGGGGAGCAAACAGG